RNAcentral lists this ribosomal RNA (437 nucleotides) under uncultured bacterium. RNAcentral's name for it is "partial 16S ribosomal RNA". It matches the Rfam family "Bacterial small subunit ribosomal RNA", at positions 29 to 507 of the family's 1533-position model. The record is from RNAcentral.
AGCGAACGCUGGCGGCAGGCUUAACACAUGCAAGUCGAGCGGGCACCUUUCGGGGUGUCAGCGGCGGACGGGUGAGUAACGCGUGGGAACGUGCCCUCGGGUUCGGAAUAACUCAGGGAAACUUGAGCUAAUACCGGAUACGCCCUUUUGGGGAAAGGCUUGCUGCCGGAGGAUCGGCCCGCGUCUGAUUAGCUAGUUGGUGAGGUAACGGCUCACCAAGGCGACGAUCAGUAGCUGGUCUGAGAGGAUGAUCAGCCACACUGGGACUGAGACACGGCCCAGACUCCUACGGGAGGCAGCAGUGGGGAAUAUUGGACAAUGGGCGCAAGCCUGAUCCAGCCAUGCCGCGUGAGUGAUGAAGGCCUUAGGGUUGUAAAGCUCUUUUAUCCGGGAAGAUAAUGACGGUACCGGAGGAAUAAGCCCCGGCUAACUUCGUG